This 177-nucleotide unclassified non-coding RNA is filed under the name uncultured fungus. Its description in RNAcentral is "sequence contains ITS1, 5.8S rRNA gene". The record is from RNAcentral. Lineage: Eukaryota; Fungi.
CAGUGAGGCUGCUCGGCUAACCACCGAGUCCGCUUUCCAACACCCAAUGUCUACCAACCCAGGUUGCUUCGGCGGGCCGUCCGGCCUAGCUGGCCACUGGCUUCGGCUUGUGAGCGCCCGUCCGAGGACCGCACAAAUCAUGUGUACUAGCAGUCAGAGCUCAAAAUAAAUGAAGCA